GCCUCCAUGGUCCAUGGGUUAAGACUCCAGGUUCUCAGCCUGGGAAAUAGGGUUCGAGUCCCUGUGGAGGUA
RNAcentral lists this transfer RNA (72 nucleotides) under marine sediment metagenome. RNAcentral describes it as "tRNA-Glu". It matches the Rfam family "tRNA". Rfam says of the family: Transfer RNA (tRNA) molecules are approximately 80 nucleotides in length. Their secondary structure includes four short double-helical elements and three loops (D, anti-codon, and T loops). The record is from RNAcentral.